This 440-nucleotide ribosomal RNA is filed under the name uncultured bacterium. RNAcentral's name for it is "bacterial SSU rRNA". It matches the Rfam family "Bacterial small subunit ribosomal RNA", at positions 338 to 795 of the family's 1533-position model. The record is from RNAcentral.
CCUACGGGGUGCAGCAGUGGGGAAUAUUGGACAAUGGGCGAAAGCCUGAUCCAGCAGUGCCGCGUGUGUGAAGAAGGUCUUCGGAUUGUAAAGCACUUUCGACGGGGACGAUGAUGACGGUACCCGUAGAAGAAGCCCCGGCUAACUUCGUGCCAGCAGCCGCGGUAAUACGAAGGGGGCUAGCGUUGCUCGGAAUGACUGGGCGUAAAGGGCGCGUAGGCGGUUUAUGCAGUCAGAUGUGAAAUCCCCGGGCUUAACCUGGGAACUGCAUUUGUGACGCAUAGGCUAGAAGUCGAGAGAGGGUUGUGGAAUUCCCAGUGUAGAGGUGAAAUUCGUAGAUAUUGGGAAGAACGCCGGUGGCGAAGGCGGCAACCUGGCUCGACACUGACGCUGAGGCGCGAAAGCGUGGGGAGCAAACAGGAUUAGAUACCCUUGUAGUC